Long non-coding RNA from Branchiostoma floridae (Florida lancelet), 1505 nucleotides. RefSeq lists it as uncharacterized. Lineage: Eukaryota; Metazoa; Chordata; Leptocardii; Amphioxiformes; Branchiostomatidae. The record is from RefSeq and is a predicted model, not a curated record. The transcript has 3 exons.
CCAAGUGAAGUAAGAUACCACCUUUACACUUAAGACAUUGAUGAUAUCAAGCUUUUUUUUUGUCCUCAUGUUCCAGCUGUGCAGUGUCCGGCACUGACCGCUCCCGUUAACGGCGGACUGAGCACCGGUCCAGGUUCGAAUCUUUACCAGGACUCCGUGGUACAGUUCUUCUGUGACUCAGGGUACACUCUGCAAGGCAACACAGACACCACGUGUCAGGCAGACGGCACGUGGAGUAACAGCGUCCCUACUUGUACAGCACAUCCUGGGUACACAGAACGACAAGGGGCUUACUACAAGGUGUCUGCACAAGCCGUGACUUACACUGAAGCCAAGCAUGCCUGUGCAGCAGACGGGGCCCAUCUAGUCGAUAUCAAGACACAGGAGCUACACGACUUCCUUGUCAGCAUGAUUCAGACGGUUGAUUCAAGCCAAAAUUACUGGAUCGGACUCCGCGAUGUGUCAGUGGAUAACACAUGGACGUGGUCUGACGGAACUCUGCUCAGCUUCACCAACUGGGUACCAGGGGAACCCCGAGACCAGCGGAAAUGUGGGCAACUCUGGGCGCUUGAAGGUUUCAAAUGGGACAACGACUUCUGUUCUGAACAGAAGUACUUUAUCUGCCAAAUCGGUACAUCUUAUUAUUCUCAUAUUUUCCUAGCCUGACUAUCUAGAUCACGCUUCUAGCAGCCCUUUCAUUGGUAAUGCCAAUUGAAGCUUGUUGGCCAAAGUCUCUUAAGCUAACGUCAUAUUUCGAAACCGGGGCCCGGCCGGGCAGUUUGUGGAAACGAAAAAUGGAAAUGAAUGCUUAUAAAUAUACACAAAUAAUGUCCACUACUAUUCCCUUUACGUAUUGUGUAGUUUGGUGUCUUUUAUAUCAUACUUUUUGAUCCUAAUUCUGUUGAUGACUUUCUCCUUCAUCAGACUGUGAACUGUCUGUUACUGUGGUGUGAUGCAUCGAUGACUGGUUUUCAUGGCGACAGAACUCAUUAGAUUCUGUUUGGCUGUUUAUCGCUUACCGUUGGGGUAUUUUAUAGUGAAUAUUUAGUUCCUAUUGAUGACCCCAUGAAAGGGGAAUGGUGUUAACUGGCCGGCCUCUACCCCUUUGCUGCCAGGGAAUAAUCAAGUAUACACACAGACGUAACAGAACCACAUUGUAUUCACAUGAUGAGUCUCUCGAUACAGACUGACUCAAGCUACAUGCGUGGAUUGUACCACUAGCGGAGGAUCUAAGUAAUCUAACAAAUGGUUCUCUCGAGCUAGUGGUGAAUGUCCACAACACCUGGUUUUGUAUGUACGAAGAAUCUAGUUAUUCAGUGAUUUGCCAACAUGAUGAGACUGUUCAUGGAUGAGCUAGAUCAUACAUCUAAUCUACAUACCUAUUGAUCAGCUAUACCUUUCAUAAACAUAUAUAGAAUCUCUUUUAUUCCACUCCUUACAUGAACACCAGCUAAAUAUAACCAUAUUGUAGUUGUAGAUUGGAUUCACUCAGAUGUUAAUAAAAU